Molecule: ribosomal RNA, 859 nt
Filed under: uncultured Sulfurovum sp.
Lineage: Bacteria; Pseudomonadati; Campylobacterota; Epsilonproteobacteria; Campylobacterales; Sulfurovaceae
Description: bacterial SSU rRNA
Rfam family: Bacterial small subunit ribosomal RNA
Source: RNAcentral
UACGGAGGGUGCAAGCGUUACUCGGAAUCACUGGGCGUAAAGCGCGCGCAGGCGGCUAGAUAAGUUGGAAGUGAAAUCCUAUGGCUCAACCAUAGAACUGCUUCCAAAACUGUUUAGCUAGAGUCUGGGAGGGGAAGAUGGAAUUAGUAGUGUAGGGGUAAAAUCCGUAGAGAUUACUAGGAAUACCAAAAGCGAAGGCGAUCUUCUGGAACAGUACUGACGCUGAGGCGCGAAAGCGUGGGGAGCAAACAGGAUUAGAUACCCUGGUAGUCCACGCCCUAAACGAUGAAUGUUAGUCGUCGGGACUCUAGUAGUUUCGGUGAUGCAGUUAACACAUUAAACAUUCCGCCUGGGGAGUACGGUCGCAAGAUUAAAACUCAAAGGAAUAGACGGGGACCCGCACAAGUGGUGGAGCAUGUGGUUUAAUUCGAAGAUACGCGAAGAACCUUACCUAGCCUUGACAUAUUUUAGAACUCCGCAGAGAUGUAGAGGUGCCUUCGGGAGCUAAUAUACAGGUGCUGCACGGCUGUCGUCAGCUCGUGUCGUGAGAUGUUGGGUUAAGUCCCGCAACGAGCGCAACCCUCGUUCUUAGUUACUAACGGUUCGGCCGAGGACUCUAAGAAGACUGCCUUCGUAAGGAGGAGGAAGGUGAGGACGACGUCAAGUCAUCAUGGCCCUUACGGCUAGGGCAACACACGUGCUACAAUGGUUAGGACAAUGAGACGCAAUACCGCGAGGUGGAGCAAAUCUAUAAACCUAAUCUCAGUUCGGAUUGUAGUCUGCAACUCGACUACAUGAAGCUGGAAUCACUAGUAAUCGUAGAUCAGCUAUGCUACGGUGAAUACGUUCCCGGGUCUUG